UCUCUCAACCCGCCUUCCCCUCGUUUCCCCUCGUUUCCAUUUCAUUGACAAGCACCACAUCGCCUCCUUUGCCCCUCUCACAAACCAGUGCCGUCGCUGCCUUCCAGACCGCCUCCUGGGUCCUGCCUGGACGCCGCCGCUCGACCGCGCCGACUACCACUUGUAUGCCGCCGCCAAAAUCCCCCGCCGCCGCGCCCAACCUCCUCGCCGAGUCGCCUAUGUCGGAGGAAUCCGACCCAUGGUGGACGGCAGCGGCCUGACCUCUGCCAGUCUUUCCCCCGCACGGUCGUACACACACGUCGAUGUCGCGGCCGAUACGCCGGCGGGAUCUGCUCGGUAGGCCGGCAACUGCACGUCUCCAAUAGACGUGGCUGGUUCACGUCCCUGUCGUGGGCGGACAUGCUGCGUUUUGCGUCAGAUCUGAGCGGCUCCGCGGCCUGUGGCCGACAGUGGGACUUGCGGCUGGGGACCUCUUCGGACGCGUCCUGGCCAUGGCCGCCACAGAUGAGAGGGAAGCGGGUCACACCGUCCAAGAGAGGGAAGAAUUGACGCCGCGGAAGAGGGACCCAUUAGAAGAGCAGCGCCUCCGCCAUCCCGACGAACUCCAGGACGGCUCGAUUCCAGGUCAUUGAGGUAAGCAUUGAUACGCAACUGCCUCCGUCCCUAAUGUAUGCCUUUUUUUUGUAGCGUAUUCAAGUGAGUUACUUCCAUGUUGAGAUAAGCUUUUUCCAACAAGGCUGGCGAGAAGAGAGGAAGGAGCAGAAGUACCAGAGCUCCGGGUGCGGCCGUGCCGUGGUGGGGUGGCAAGCUGGGGAAUGGAGUCGGCCGUGAAGCAGCUCGGUGGGGGAAUACAGAGAGAAUUUCUUGCGAUGUGGUGUGACAUUAAUUUGCUUGAUGCUUUUGGAGAUGUCAGUGGUCAGGCUGUAGUAACUAUGUGUGUGUUGCAGACUAGAGUACUAAGAAAAGGUAUGUUUUUGGCACAUGAUGCUACGAUAUCAAGUAAUUUAAGGAGUUUCAUGUUUAAUUAUAUCAUAUGUUCUAUCAUCUGGUAAGUAUUUAGGAUAUCUUUUGCUUGAUUUUCGUUUUGAUGCUGCCUAUUGUUACCGUGGAUGCCAAUGAAGGAGAGCACUUGCUAGGCUGAUAACCAAUUGAAUUUUCUUAUGACACAUGUUUUUUCAAGUUCAUCUGUAAAAUCUAAUGGACUCUAAGGGCGUCAGUUGUUUCUGUGGUUCAAAUAGUGCCCUUUCAGAAUUACUGAUACUUAAUUAUCUAAAUCUCCAGAGGUUAGUAAAUUAGAAAAAUAAUUAUUGGAAUAUCACUAUUAUAUCUCAGAAUAUGUACUGUAUAUCCCUCUGGCCUCCACCCAUCAGCAUAGUACUAUGCAUUGCAUCAAAGCAGUGUAUGUCUAGCAGCCGACGACGCGACGAAACCAGGAUUACCUCUCGCUGAGUGGUGGCCAUUGAUGCACUCCAGGUGACGCUCAUUGGAUUUUUAUGUUGAAAAUUUGGUUGGUACUCACCCACUCAUCACAUCCUAAGACUAAUGUAUUACCUGGUGUUUUGGCCUAACUAGAAACUGGAUUGGUUAGAAUUCGGUUGCUAUCAUAACUAUGUCCGCUGAAAUAAAAUUUUGGUAAUGUUUCAUCCAUGCUUCUGUAAGGAGCGUUCAUAUUAUUGGGUUUGGGUGGUAGCAUGUGUAGUUUAUUCUUCCUUCAUGCAGUAUUAUAUAUGGGUAGGUGCAUUAUAAUGGAUUUGUUAAAUUUUAUUACUCUUCAUCAAUGGCUUGAUUAGUUUUUGGAGAACACGUAAAAUCUGAACAUACCUGGUACAUAUUUUUGUUUGGUUGUUUGAAGACGAUGAUUUUGGUUGAAAAUCCUCUCUUCAUGACCAGUGGGAACAUUUUUAGUGCAUCUCUCUACUUUUGGUAUCUCCACUCUAUAAUAUCACAGAAAAUGACUCUUAUCCUAUUCGUUUUCAGUGGUGCCCAGAUGUUUCCCUUGGUGACAAGGCAUAUGUCAUGUUUCAAAGUUCACUUUAUCAAAUACAGUGUUCCACAAAAAACCGGACAUCUGGUUUGAUCUUCUAUUUUUUAAACCUUUUUCUUCCAGCGAAUUUGAUGUAUGGGGCAUGUAGCAUACAGUGGUAGCGAUUUGAUGUAUCACGCAUGUAGUAGAGCCGAGGUAGUGAUUUUGAUGUAUGGGGCAUGUAGCAAAGCAAUGCUAGGAUUUCAAGGAUUGGAGAAAGUGAGGUCUAAUUCAUUUCUUUUGCUCCUCUGGUUGUAAGCACAAGUUCUCCGAAUCUUCUUAAAUGAAGAAAGUUGUCUUCUUACUUUUGAGAGGUGAAUAAAGGAUUUUCUUGGGGUUAUGCUGUUAA
This is a long non-coding RNA of Lolium rigidum, 2372 nucleotides long. RefSeq lists it as uncharacterized. The transcript has 3 exons. Lineage: Eukaryota; Viridiplantae; Streptophyta; Magnoliopsida; Poales; Poaceae. The record is from RefSeq and is a predicted model, not a curated record.